Long non-coding RNA from Scatophagus argus, 1849 nucleotides. RefSeq lists it as uncharacterized. The transcript has 2 exons. The record is from RefSeq and is a predicted model, not a curated record. Lineage: Eukaryota; Metazoa; Chordata; Actinopteri; Scatophagidae.
UACUACAAAUACUGUGCUGCCAGAAGGCUCAUUUGUGGCAGAGUUGAUUAACAAGUCAACACCGCACCUCCUCCCCCGGACUCGCAUGGCCCAUGAAAUCAAUGGCAGCUAAUGGUAUGGGCUCUGACACAUGCAGUGAAACCUGCCCGGAAGCUUUUCGCAUCUGCCGCGCGACCUGAAACCACUGAAGUGUUUGCGUCACCAUACGCACCGUGUUCAGACCACUCGUCCCACAGGUGCAGGACGUCCUCAUCGUGAUGUUCGUGGUGCUCGUGGUGUUCUGGGUCAGGGUCUGUGUCCAAACACACACAAACGGCCAUGUGAAGGUGCAGGCGUGCAAGCUUAUCGCAAAGGUGCUGAAGGCUGAUGCGUGAAAAACUAAUCACAGCAAACAUGGACAGAUAAACCAGUCCUGUGGGUGAGUUCAAAGGGCCACGGAGAUAAAUCUACAAGAGGACGUGGAUGAAGGCUGCAAGGACGGGAUUAAGUGAAAACACACGAACAGGAAAUGAUGAAAACGAAAGGAGAGAGCGAACAGCUGUGUUGGUGCCGGGGGGUUCAUAAAACUAACGCAAUAAUAUUUUUAGAUAUAAAAGUAUAUAUAUUAUAAUCCUGUUUGAGGCUCAGUUCUUUGGAAUCAGAAGAUAAAAGUUAGGCUCAGUACCAUUGGAGUGAUGCCACAGCAUCCGCUUGAGUUCCCUGAGGGCUUUGGUGAGGUUCUCCAGCUGGUCGUGAAGAUGGAUGUUCUCCUCUAUCAGUGCAUGAAUUGUGUCCUGUAGCUCAAAGCUCCGACUCUGCAGGACCAGCAGAGCGACAGGCAUGAAGAAAAGCACCGGCCUUAGUCUCCUCAUCGCAACCACAGCGCCCAGGCUCUAUGACAUCUUCACAGGCGCCGGUCCACCAGAAGCCCGUGUGGAAGAGAUGCGCCCCGCUGCCGAAAUGAUCGGUGCAGGAUAUUCCAUCAGCUUAAACUCCAGGGGAGGUGACCGCUUGUUCCUUUCCAAAGCCGUGUGUGGAAAGCUGCCAGCGGGCUGCUUUAAAAUCCAUCCGAUGUUUCUGCAUCAGUGAGCGCAGCGACCAAAGCAGCAGAGGCCCUCGCUCGCUCGCUCGACUGAAAAUCCACUUCAAACCACACAAAUACACGAUGCAGACACAUUGAGUGUUCAGGUCUUCAGGGAUUUGUGGAAAACUGUCCAAAUUUUCAGGAAAAAUGUGCCAACUGAUACAUCAAUACGGACAAACAUCCUCCUGCUUUGUAACUACUUCAUUUCAGCUCAUGUCUGUCACGUGUGGUACAGGAAGCACACGAGGACAGUGAGGUGAAGGGGACAGACUGAAGCCAUGUCUGUAUAAAUAUUUGAAAACCUUGCUUAGAGAACAAAAGGUAGCUUUUUCUCCAGUCAUAGUUGCUGAAUGGUUGUGUAGGUUUCAGCUGCACCGACAUGUUCAGAGGCUGUUCUGGUGCUGAGGUCUUUCAGCAAAAGGUGCAACAGAGUUCACUGCAAACCGAUCACUUAAACUAAGUGCUCACUCACUGAAAUGUUUUCUAACCACAACAGCCAAACUGCAUCAGGCUGGGGUAUGUUUUGUUUGUUUGACCACAGAUUGUAACCCACAUAACUUUUGUGAUAUGAAACACUUAAUUCUCCUCUCAGAAACCACAGAUGUAAUCAAGAUGCUGGGGCAAGUUAAGACUCAGAAAAAUAUGCAGUUUUUUUCCAAACAAGAAGCUUUUAUUUAUUUAUCAUGUGUAUGAGUUUAUGCGGUCUUGGUGGCCCUGGUGCGCUUCUUCUUGACCACAACAGGCUUCUGGCUCUUCAGAAUAGCACUGGCACGACGCAGGGCAGCC